CUUACCAGCCUAAAGAGUAAGAAUUUUUAAAAACAUACCAGGACUGUAUUAAAACAUUAGUGGCUGUUUGACACAGGUUUCAAAACUUCUUUAUGUACUGGCCUUUCUUUCUUUCUUUCUUUCUCUCCUUGUCUCACCCUCUCUCACUCACUCUCUCACACACAUUCUUGCCCUCUCCUUUUCUCCAACCUUUCCCCUCCCGCCCUUCCUCUCUCUCUGUUCAAUCCUGGCAUUCUCUAUAAAGCAUCACUCUACAUCCUCCCCAUCGAAUGCAUGGGUUUUCGCCUGGUGCUCGGUUACUUUCCACUGUCCAAGACAUACCAGUCUGGAGAUGGACACAGAGUUUAUAGAUGUGAGGAGAUGCAACAGUGAAAUCGUGGACCCUAUUCAAAUUACAGAGGAGGAGCUGUUUGCUGUCUUGAGGAGAGGGUUCUUUUGAAGACCCUGACUUGGAGUUACAUGUUUCGGUUCUUUGUGGGAAUGAGACCCGCUCUCGGGGUCUCAUGACUGGCUCCAAUUCGAUAUUCCAAGAGCUCGGCCUAGAAGAUUAGCACUCCUUCGGAGUUCUGGGAUUUCAUGGCUCUGGAGGUGGGCAGACUCAUGGGUGGUGCCUCAGCAGGGAAUCGAUGUGCCAUGGGAGACAGAAGAUAGAAAGCAGCAAGCUGGCUGUGUGCCUAGAGACCCGAGUUCUUUGGGCACAGAACUUGAAAAAAGCAACGCAGCGGACUUCUAACAUCGUAAAUCAGCGAGUUGUUUGUUAUGUCACCAGUCUCACUGUGAAACAGAGACACCUCUUUUUCCUUUAUUAGGGAGAGAGAGAGCGAACCUGAGAACUGCACCAUACAGCAGGGAGAUGGUGAAUGAAGUGUACUUAGAGCACCAGAAGUAUAGGAAAAUUAAUUUUGAACACUGAACAUUCGAGACAUUUGGAAUUUAAAGCAAAAUCCAAUAUCAACAAGCUCUCUUUUUGCCACUAAGGAAUGAUGGUCAACCUUACACAGACAACAUUCUCGCCUUCAAGAGAAAAUCUGAAGAUGCUGGAAAUCAAAGUAACACACCCAAAAUGCUGGUGGAACUCAGCAGGCCAGGCAGUGUCUAUGGAAAAGAGUAAAUAGUCAACAUUUCAGGCCAAGACCUUUAUCAAGACUGGGUAAAAAAAAAGAGAUAAGUCAGAGUAAGAAGGUGGGGAGAGGGGAGGAAAAAGUACAAGGUGGUUGGUGAUAGUGAAACUGGGGGAGAAGACAGAACCAUGGAAGAAAGGGGAGGAAGUGGUGAUGGGCAGGUGAGAAGAUGAGAGAAAUGGUGGAAGUGGGGGCAAUAACCGGAAGUUCAAGAAGUCGAUGUUCAUGGCAACAAUCUGGAGGCUGCUCAGAUGGACUAUAAGGUGUUGUUCCCUCAACCUGUAUGUGCCAUGGACUGACAUGUUGGAAUGGGGAUGGGAAGUCAAAUUGAAACGGAGGACCACUGGGAGGUCCCACUUCUUCUAGCAGACUGAUAGGUGCUCAGCAAAGUGGUCUCCUGAUCUAUGUCGGAUCUCACCGACAUACAGGAGGCCACACCAAGAGCACCAGGCAGAUUAAGACCCCAUAGACUCACAGGUGAUAUGUCACCUCACCUGGAAGGACUGCUUGGGGCUCUGAAUGGUAGUGAGGGAGGAGGUGUAGGGGCAGGUGUGGCACUUGUUCCACUUGCAAGGCUAACUCUCCCAGUUUCACUUACCACCUACUACUUUGUACUUCUUCCUUUCCCCCCUCCCCCCCACAUUGACUUCUCAUCUCCUUUUUAUAGUCCUGAUGAAGGGUCUCCAUCCGAAACAUCGACUGUUUUCUCUUUUCCAUCAAUGCUGCCUGGCCUGCUGAGUUCCUUCAGCAUUUUGUUUGUUACAAAAGAAUUCACCUUGCAUAAUGAAUGAGUGCUGGAAAGGAGGAGUGGGAAGAUUGGGUGGAAAUGUAAUGGAAAAGCCAAGUACCUGUUGCAGGUCUCUAAUAAUUUAACUUGAGAAUAAAUAAAUAAUCAAGCAAGGUAACUGUCUGUGUCGUUCUUUCCUCUCCAGUCCCACCUACUUCAUUUUUUGCUAUUUAUUAACUGUUUAGAGGGCAUCUUAUCCAGAGCCUAUUUCAAUAGUGAAAUGAAGUGACCUGGGAUUAUCAAGCCAUAAAGGGGUGCUCACUCUCC
Hypanus sabinus (Atlantic stingray) is the source of this 2175-nucleotide long non-coding RNA. RefSeq lists it as uncharacterized. The transcript has 4 exons. The record is from RefSeq and is a predicted model, not a curated record. NCBI's taxonomy places the organism in Eukaryota, Metazoa, Chordata, Chondrichthyes, Myliobatiformes, Dasyatidae.